UUGCCAGACUCCUACGGGAGGCAGCAGUGAGGAAUAUUGGUCAAUGGCCGGAAGGCUGAACCAGCCAAGCCGCGUGAAGGACGAAGGUGCCAAGCAUUGUAAACUUCUUUUGUCAAGGGACAAAAUCAGGCUCGAGAGCCUGACCGAGGGUACUUGAAGAAAAAGCAUCGGCUAACUCCGUGCCAGCAGCCGCGGUAAUACGGAGGAUGCGAGCGUUAUCCGGAUUUAUUGGGUUUAAAGGGCGUGUAGGCGGGACUGCAAGUCAGAUGUGAAAACCACGGGCUCAACCUGUGGCCUGCAUUUGAAACUGUAGUUCUUGAGUACUGGAGAGGCGGACGGAAUUCCUAGUGUAGCGGUGAAAUGCGUAGAUAUUAGGAGGAACACCAGUGGCGAAGGCGGUCUGCUGGACAGCAACUGACGCUGAGGCGCGAAAGCGUGGGGAGCAACCAGGAUUAGAUACCCUUGUACG
RNAcentral lists this ribosomal RNA (469 nucleotides) under uncultured bacterium. RNAcentral's name for it is "bacterial SSU rRNA". It matches the Rfam family "Bacterial small subunit ribosomal RNA", at positions 328 to 793 of the family's 1533-position model. The record is from RNAcentral.